GCGGGCGGUGUCAGUAUACACCGAGAGGGAGGGGGCCACCAUCUUUACUGCGGGCGGUGUCGGUAUACACCGAGAGGGAGGGGGCCGACAUCUUUACUGCGGGCGCUGUCGGUAUACACCGAGAGGAAGGGGGCCUCCAUCUUUACUGCGGGCGGUGUCAGUAUACACGGAGAGGGUGGGGGCCGCCAUCUUUACUGCGGGCAGUAUCGGUAUACACCGAGAGGGAGGCGGCCGCCAUCUUUACUGCGGGCGGUGUCGGUAUACACCUAGAGGGAGGGGGCCGCCAUCUUUACUGCGGGCGGUGUCUGUAUACACCGAGAGGGAGGGGGCCGCCAUCUUUACUGCGGGCGGUGUCUGUAUACACCGAGAGGGAGGGGGCCGCCAUCUUUACUGCGGGCGGUGUCUGUAUACACCGAGAGGGAGGGGGCCGCCAUCUUUACUGCGGGCGGUGUCGGUAUACACAGAGAGGGAGGGGGCCGCCAUCUUUACUCCAUAAAGCAUUGAUAUUGAAUCUCUCUUUAUCCCUUUGCAUGUAUCUCUUCCACUACCUGAAAAUAAGCACGGUAAUGGCCGCUGGAACGCAUAAUGAAAUGCUAGACUGGAAAUGACAUAUCGGCGUUCAACCCGGAAGGAACAUAGUAAAUAGUGUAAUUGCGAAUGAGGCUUGGUAUGCAUUGCCGCUUAAUUUCAAGCCAGAAACUAAUGAUUCCCCCAUUGGAGCGGUAUUUCUAGCAGGGAGUAGCCCAAGUAGAGCUGACAAAGACUUUUACCCAGCGUCCGUGGAACUGUUAGUAUUUAGACUCUGUUUCUGAACUAUUGCUGAAUAAGUGUAUUUAUAGUUUUUGUUUCUGGACUAUUGCUGAAUAAGUGUAUUUAUGGUUCUUAUCUGCCGUCACAUUCUAUGUUUCUAUGUUAUGUUUCAUUCAAGGAACAACAAUAUUGCACUAUAUGUGUUUCCUCUCACAAUAUUAUAUAGGACAGAAUACUCAGAAAAUUGACUGCAAAGAAGGGAAAGGGUCGCCUCAAUUGACCCUAAGGCAUAUAAAC
Molecule: non-coding RNA, 1047 nt
Organism: Pelobates cultripes (western spadefoot toad)
Lineage: Eukaryota; Metazoa; Chordata; Amphibia; Anura; Pelobatidae
Source: the annotation of a GenBank genome assembly